Molecule: long non-coding RNA, 1232 nt
Filed under: Equus caballus (horse)
Lineage: Eukaryota; Metazoa; Chordata; Mammalia; Perissodactyla; Equidae
Description: lncRNA (ENSECAG00000053380.1)
Source: RNAcentral
GAGAGGGAUGGGUGGCCGAGGCCCAGCUGCCUCCUCUCCCGGAGCCAGGCUGAGGCGGCACGAUGCCGGGAGGCCGGCCUCAGCAGGGCGGUGGUUGGGGAAAUUAUCAGGGCCCAGUUAAAUUCGGAAAACCGGCAUCAUAGUGGGGCUCAACUGCAUGCCGUGUGGCCUCGUUCCCUGUUCCAUCUUGCGCGCUCGCUGCACCACGUUCCUUUAAAAAGAAGCCGUGGGAAGGACGAAUCCUUAGAUUUCCAGCAUUAAGGAACAAGACCCGGCCUUAAACCUCGGCUCUGCUACUUCUCUGCGGGCUCUGGAAUCUGGACCCACUUCUGACCCUCUCCAAGCCUCAGUUUUCCUUCCCACAGAAGGGGGAAAAUGCUUCCCUCAGAGGGGUGUGGUGAAGAAUAAACGAGAGUUCAAUAACAGCUCUUUGUUUGCCAUAAAAGUCAUUCUUUCCACGUGAAUUUCAAAAGCUGAGAACAUUGUCAGUAUUUGCCUGACGUGUCCUUUUCCAGCCUUUUAUUUUCAACCUUUCCUGUUCAUGUGCGUAUAGAUAGCACACCUCUCUCUGUUAAUCCAAUCUGUCGACAUUUGUCUUUUCACUGCCAAGUCUGGACCAUUUAAUCAGCGUUCUCCCUAGCAUGUUUCUAACAUCUUCUCCUCUAUCAUGGCUUGUCUCACUUCGUCUGUUCCUAUGCUCUAUCCCACCGGGCGGGGAGGUAGGAAGGUUGGGGGAGGUGGUUAGAGCUGAUGGCAGCAAGUAGAAGAGUCCAAAGUAUUCAGUGAGCAACACCUUUCUGAAAGCUACCAAGGGCCCUAGGCAAGGCACAGAAAUGUCAGGAAGCAUGAAAGGGGCCAAGACAUGAUCUACGGGUUAAGCGCUCAGGAUAGGCUCUAGGUUGCCCAUCCAGCAGCCAUCCCCAUUCUUCCUCAUUAACAGGAUCCCAACUUUGUGUCAGAAUUUGAUAGGUGAUGUCUCAGAAGGUGGCUCCAUCCCCCAGGCCCACACUAGUUCUAGGUCGAGAACUACAAUAGUUCUAAAGCUAUCUGGUUAAUCCUUACUGUCUUUUCCAGGGAUCAGUCUAAAACAGGCAUUUGACUCAGUUCUGGCCAAUUAGAAUUAGGGAAAGUUUGCUAGGGGGCUUCUGGGAAAGACUUCCUUGCCUGGAUUGGGUAGGGGGAGGGGGAGAGAGGGAGAGAGAAGCAAGAGAGAGAGAAGUGCAAUAAGAAGG